GAUAGCGUGUCCGAGUAGUUAGGGAGAUUGACUCGAAAUCUAUUAGGCCCUGCCUGCGCAGGUUCAGAUCCUGCCACUGUCA
This 82-nucleotide transfer RNA is filed under the name Perkinsus olseni. It matches the Rfam family "tRNA". Rfam says of the family: Transfer RNA (tRNA) molecules are approximately 80 nucleotides in length. Lineage: Eukaryota; Perkinsozoa; Perkinsida; Perkinsidae. The record is from Rfam by way of RNAcentral.